UCCGUGUUCACCACGGCAGUCUCCUUAGAGAGCCCAACUGAAUGCUGGCAACUAAGGACAAGGGUUGCGCUCGUUGCGGGACUUAACCCAACAUGUCACCACGCGAGCUGACGACAGCCAUGCAGCACCUGUCACUCUGUCCUAUUGCUAGGAAGACUGUAUUUCUACAGCUGUCAGAGGAUGUCAAACCCAGGUAAGGUUCUUCGCGUUGCUUCGAAUUAAACCACAUGAUCCACCGCUUGUGCGGGCCCCCGUCAAUUCCUUUGAGUUUUAGUCUUGCGACCGUACUUCCCAGGCGGGGUACUUAGUGCGUUAGCUCCGGUUCAGCAGGGGUCAAGACCCGCCAAACCUAGUACCCAUCGUUUACAGCGUGGACUAC
This 379-nucleotide unclassified non-coding RNA is filed under the name uncultured Oligoflexales bacterium. RNAcentral's name for it is "contains 16S-23S intergenic spacer region". The record is from RNAcentral. Lineage: Bacteria; Pseudomonadati; Bdellovibrionota; Oligoflexia; Oligoflexales.